AACGAACGCUGGCGGCAGGCUUAACACAUGCAAGUCGAACGCCCCGCAAGGGGAGUGGCGCACGGGUGAGUAACGCGUGGAUAUCUGCCUUUUGGUUCGGAAUAACCCCGGAAACUGGGGCUAAUACCGGAUGGUUCCUACGGGAUAAAGAUUUAUCGCCAAAAGAUGAGUCCGCGUACGAUUAGCUAGUUGGUGAGGUAAUGGCUCACCAAGGCGACGAUCGUUAGCUGGUCUGAGAGGACGAUCAGCCGCACUGGGACUGAGACACGGCCCAGACUCCUACGGGAGGCAGCAGUGGGGAAUAUUGGACAAUGGGGGCAACCCUGAUCCAGCCAUGCCGCGUGAGUGAUGAAGGCCUUCGGGUUGUAAAGCUCUUUUGGCGGGGACGAUGAUGACGGUACCCGCAGAAUAAGCCCCGGCUAACUUCGUG
RNAcentral lists this ribosomal RNA (430 nucleotides) under uncultured bacterium. RNAcentral describes it as "partial 16S ribosomal RNA". It matches the Rfam family "Bacterial small subunit ribosomal RNA", at positions 29 to 507 of the family's 1533-position model. The record is from RNAcentral.